CCAGCAGCCGCGGUAAUUCCAGCUCCAAUAGCGUAUAUUACAGUUGUUGUGGUUAAAAAGCUCGUAGUUGGAUCUCAACGAUCUUGAAGCGGUCGACUAAGUGUUGUACUGCUUUGUAGGUCGUGCUUUUGCUGGAGGUUUAGAGGUGCUCUUGAUCGAGUGUCUCUAGAUGCCAGCAGGUUUACUUUGAAAAAAUUAGAGUGUUCAAAGCAGGCCUACGCUUGAAUACAUUAGCAUGGAAUAAUGGAAUAGGACUUUGGUGCUAUUUCGUUGGUUAAUGGGACCGAAGUAAUGAUUAAAAGGGACAGUUGGGGCCGUUUAUAUUUCGUUGUCAGAGGUGAAAUUCUUGGAUUUACGAAAGAUAAACUUCUGCGAAAGCAUUCGGCAAGGAUGUUUUCAUUGAUCAAGAACGAAAGU
Molecule: ribosomal RNA, 417 nt
Filed under: uncultured eukaryote
Lineage: Eukaryota
Description: SSU rRNA
Rfam family: Eukaryotic small subunit ribosomal RNA
Source: RNAcentral